Molecule: long non-coding RNA, 2061 nt
Filed under: Pan troglodytes (chimpanzee)
Lineage: Eukaryota; Metazoa; Chordata; Mammalia; Primates; Hominidae
Description: long non-coding RNA NONPTRT005205
Source: RNAcentral
CCUGGCUAAUGUUUUUAUUUAUUUUUUAAGAGACAGAGUUUCGCCAUGUUGGCUGUUCUCAAACUCCUAGGCUCAAGCUAUCCACCCGCCUCGGCCUCCCAAAGUGCUGGGAUUGCAGGUGUGAGCCACCAAGCCUGGCCACCUCUCCUUAAUUCAAGGGAACUGACGAGAGAGGACGGGGAGAAGGUGACAAGUACAAGCACCUGCAGUUCCCACCAGCAGCAGGAAAUAUUGAGGUGUGACCAGAAGGGGAACUUCGUAGCAUACACGAGAAAUCUGGUUACCUCCAGCUGGGGAAGGGCGGUCCUGGAGUGCCCUCAACUGAGGAGUCUGAUUUUAGGAUAGAAAAUGCUGGUGAAAAAGACAGUAGUCGUGAUGGAGAGGAGAUGUUCCCCAGAGCUAGCCCUGGGAUCCAGGUGAUUCGAGAUGGGCUAUAGGAACCAAGGCCUCCCCCAGCGUGAAAUUACCAGGUGUGAGCGGCGCCACCCCACUGUGGGGAGGCGGGUCCGUCGCGCAGUGGGCACCCGGCUAUGCCUCAUUCCUGAGUCUCCCACGGCCUCACACCACAGCAAGAGACAAGGCGGCCCUGAUUCACAGCCCAGCUCUGCCCUGUGCCAACGCAGAGCCCUGGGCGCAGGACGGGGCCACUCUGUGCCUUAGCUUCCUCAGCCAUGAAGUGGGAUAGACGGGGACCCGGUGCCCUCCUACAGGCACAGUGGGGACGAAACACACCAACGCGGCGCAGGACACGAACGCUCCAAGCCUGUCUGUCCCGGCUGUUCCCACUGCACACCAGAGAGCCAGAGGCCUUGGGGCCAGGUCACUGCCCAGCUCAGAGCCCAGGGAGCCCCGAGCAGUGGCCCUGCACCUCCUGCCACUUCUGGGUGAUUCUAGAGGAGUCCCCUUACCCAGGGCCCCUCUGGCCUCUCCCCAAGGGGCACAAAACGGCCCCCGAGGAAGCUCCCAGACUCAAGCCUAUGACUCUUCACAGCCUCCUGAGACACUGGCCCAGUCCCGGGGCUCUCUGUGGUAGGGCCCUACAUCCCACGAGGGUUUGGAGGGGACUGACAAUAGAGGUCUGGCUGCCCAGCCUUGUGAGGAGCUCUCCCCAUCUGCCCAGCCCCUGUGGCCCCCAAGCCGUCUCUGCCGAACUCCAUCAGUGACCCAGUUGGAGAAAGGCCAGCUUGACAAAUGCUCUCUGCGGGACAAGCAGGAUGAGUGGGCGUUUCUACACUACAGGACACUCACCCCAGGCAUCAGUGGGUGUGUCUACACUGGCAGGUUGGCACCUGCUCUGGGAGGGUGCUGCCAUGUGGGCUAACGUGAGCCACCUGCAGCUUUCACAACCCGGAGCAGCACUGAGCGGGGUGGCGUGAGCAACAGGCUCUGCCCAGCCCCUCAGGAGCUGAGGGAAGCAGGUGGGCAUUGCCGUGUGCAGGAGCAACUGGGGAGACCAGGUGGGCUCAGCCCAGGGAUGCCGGAGGUAGUCCCAUCCCUUCUCACCUGCACCAGGCAUUUGUCCAGAUGCCCCACCGCUUCUCCCAAGGCCCUCCAAGGGUCCCGGCCAUCCGGGGACAGCAGGGGCUCCUGGCUCUGGGGCCCGGUGCCACCCUCCCUCCACCUGCAGCCCCUCGUGAGCCUCACCAGGGUGAGGAGCAAAGGCUUCCCCGGCCCUGCCACGCUCGCAUGGUGUCACCUUGUUGUGCAAAGCCCAGGCACACCUGUGUCGGGGUGAGGACAACAAGGAUGCCAGCGGCAGUACCAGCCAGGCUUGGGAACCAGGCUGAGGAGCCUGGGGUAUGCCCAGGUGCCAAGGGCCAGCUCUGGGGUCGUGCUUUUGCCCUCCUGGGCCUCCAGUCCAGAGGCCAGCCAAACAGAGGGACAGACAGGAACCAUCACCUGGGCAGGUAGAGAGGCCUGGAGGGAGGCAGCCCCCAUGCUCCUCACACCCAGCAAGAAGGGGUCAGGGGCCGGAGGCAGCAGCAGGGAGUCCCUGGCCAUCCCAGGCCAGUGCAUGCACACAUGAUGGGGGCCAGGGGUCCAUACCCCCGAUUUCAGCCC